GCGGGCAGCCUUCUCUUUCUCUCGUCUCCGUACACUUCCGAGCCCAGAUCGCAUGGACUGGUCAACCCUCCCCGGCGACCUGGUCCGCCUCGUCGCCGGCUACCUCCACGACCCGCUCGACUUCCUCCGCCUCCGCGCGGUCUGCCGCUCCUGGCGCUCCGCCGUCGCAUCCUCGCCCCCUCCCCCCUUCCUCCCCUGGCUCCUCGCUCGCCCCGCGGGGCCCGCCCACGCCACCGCCUCCCUUUCCUUCUUUUCCCUCGCCUCCGGCGCCGUCCGUUCCGUCCCCGCCCCCUCGUCCUCCCACCGCCUCCUCGGCCCCACCCGCUCCCACCUCCUCCUCUCCGACACCACCCGCCACCUCCUCCUGCUCAACCCCCUCACCGGCGCUCGGCUCCCCCUCCCCGACUCACCUUUCCCCGCCUCCAACCCCGUCAUCCAGGGCUACCUCAUCCCCGCGGCCGCCGAUGACGACUCCCCGGCGCCGGUGGUGCUGUACAACGCCAGGAAGCUCUUUUUCCACUUCGAUUUCAUGGCUGGGUGUGAACCCACAACGAAGCCUGUGGAUAGGGAUGGCUGGACGGAGGUGCUGGUGCCGGACCUUGUCGCCGAGAACAUGUACCACGACGGGAAGCUGUUCGUAUGCGACGACCGCGGGCAAGUCACGGUCUUCGACGCAGCCACGCUGGCCGUGGUCGGCGCCGUGCCACCGCCGCCGACACCUGCGGCACCUCCGCGCAGGGAUGCCUUCAACUUCAAGUGCACGGCCUUCGUGCCAUCUGGGCAUGAGCUGCUGUGCGUGAUCCGGCACUUCGCCAACAAUGAGCGUGGAGAGUUGCUGGAGUAUUGCCGUGGCGGGUUGGAGGUGUACCAGCUGGAGAUGGAAAUUGAGAAGGAGGACCAGCCGCCACAACCGCAGUGGGUUCGAAUGAGGAGCAUUGGUGACAGGAUGUUGUUUAUUGGACUGUUCCAGGGAUUCUCCUUCAGCGCAGCCGAUUUCCCUGGGUUUAAAGGGGAUUGCAUCUAUUUCUUCAAGCUGGAGAGGGACAAGAGGUCUUGCAUCUACAGGUUUAGCAUGGAGGAUGGCCGCACCGAGGAGCUGUCUGGCCCAUGGAUGCAUGCUUGCACUUGGUUUGUGCCGAGCUUGUCUUAGCACUUGCUAUGGACGAACAAGUCCAAGGUUUGUAUAGCUCCUCUGAGAUCAAAUUCAUUGUUCAUCAUCUGAGAAAACUAAACUAUGGAACAUCAAAUUAGAAGAGUAUGCAAUUAUCAUGGUGGAAGAGAAAUACAGGAAAAUUGGAUGCAGUUAUCUGGAUGCUGGAGCAGGCAUGCGCAGCACGAGCAGUGGAGGGACACAGAUUGGAUGAAAAUCAAUAUUGAUGGGGUCUUUGUUGAACAGUCAUGCAGCCUGUAGCAGUCAUUGGAUUUGUGACCCAUGAUGAAAAGAAAGGUGAGAUAUUUGCUACAUGGAGAGCCCCUUUUCAUCGUGUUCCUCCUCAUCAGAAGUCAAAGCCCCUGACCUGUGAGGAGGGUAUCUAUUUGGUGGCUCUGCAUAUACAUGCCACAUUGUUGUGUAGGAUUGCAGCAGGGUAGAGCAUGAUUUCAAGCUGACAAGCAUACAUGAUGUGUCCAGAAUUGGGAUCAACUGGAGGUGAAGGAGCUGUCGCAGACUUCCAGAAGAUCAAUGUUCAGCUUUCAAGAUGCAGUUGCGCAUCAAAGGAGUUAUGGUCGGUAUGAAAACUGCAUUUGAAACAGAUUGGUUGCAAGGAAUUUCUCUGAUUGUCUCUCAGAAGCAAGCAUUCCCAACGCACCUUCCUUAAGGAUUAGCAAAACAUGAAGCUCACCCGAUGUGCGGGUGACAGUAUAUAAGUUGAUAUUUUCCGUGAUUAUUGGAUAAUCAACUUGUACCAGGCUGCAAACUCUUGGGCCUCCCUGAUGAUUUUACAACUCAGAGAGUUAAUGAGCUUGUGGUCCCAGGAAGUAAUUAGUGCAAUGAAAAGUCAAGGCUUCUGAUUUGUGGUUGACAUAGCUUCUUGGUUGCAACAGGGAGAUGAGUUUUUUUGGCUUGAUCAUAUGAGAAAUGCAGGAAGUAGUAAUCCUGUCAAUUUACUUUUUGUUAGCAAGUGACAAGAAAGAGGAGCAGCAUCAGCAGGCUCCAUGAUACUGUUCAUUGAUGAUCACAAACCCUUAAGCAAAGGGUAUGGUCUAUACAUCUGCCCAAAGAUCAUGUGGUUUGGUUGCUGAGGUCAUCAUUUCAAAUUGUAAUCUCCUGAGGUAAAAAAUAAAAUAUGAGCACUCACACCUGAGGUUCAGUCA
Molecule: RNA transcript, 2313 nt
Organism: Panicum virgatum (switchgrass)
Lineage: Eukaryota; Viridiplantae; Streptophyta; Magnoliopsida; Poales; Poaceae
Gene name: putative F-box protein At3g25750
Exons: 4
Source: RefSeq, a predicted model, not a curated record